This is a long non-coding RNA of Homo sapiens (human), 186 nucleotides long. RefSeq annotates it as GALNT10 divergent transcript. The transcript has 2 exons. The record is from RefSeq and is a predicted model, not a curated record. Lineage: Eukaryota; Metazoa; Chordata; Mammalia; Primates; Hominidae.
CGUUAGGUGUGAACGCCCUCUGCAAACUGUAGGGAGCUGUGCCCGGCCGCCGCCCGUCUGUAGAUCCUGCAAACCGGCGGGUGGCUGCAAGUACUCCACAGUGUGAAUGAAUCAGGUUCAGUCUCCUAUGGAUGGACAUUUGGAGUUGUUUUCAAUCUCUGGCUAUUAAAAUAACAUAAUAAUGAA